UUUAUUAUUUAAAGUGUUUGGGGCUGUUUCUUUUACUUUGAGAAAAUUAGAGUGUUCAAAGCGGGUUUCGCCUGGAUAUACUCUUGGAAUAAUAAUAUAGGACUUUGGUUCUUUUUUGUUGGUGACUUAGAACCGAAGUAAUGAUUGAUAGGGACAGUUGGGGUCAUUCGUACUAUGAAGCGAGAGGUGAAAUUCAUGGACCUUUGUAUGACGAACUACUGCGAAGGCAUUUGACUAGGAUGUUCCCGUUGAUCAAGAACGAAAGUUGGGGGAUCGAAGACGAUCAGAUACCGUCGUAGUCUCAACCAUAAACUAUGCCAGCUAGGGAUUGGAGGAAGAUCAUUUUACGUCUCCUUCAGCACCUUAUGAGAAAUCAAAGCAUUUGGGUUCCGGGGGGAGUAUGGUCGCAAGGCUGAAACUUAAAGGAAUUGACGGGAGGGCACCACCAGGAGUGGAGCCUGCGGCUUAAUUUGAUUCAACACGGGAAAACUUACCAGGUCCGGACAUGGGAAGGAUUGACAGAUUGAAAGCUCUUUCUUGAUUCUAUGGGUGGUGGUGCGUGGCCGUUCUUAGUUGGUGGAGUGAUUUGUCUGGUUAACUCCGUUAACGAACGAGACCUCAGCCUGCUAAAUAGUUAAAUCUUGUUUUUAUAAGAUUUUAACUUCUUAGAGGGACUACGUGACCUACAAGCGCGAGGAAGCUUGAGGCAAUAACAGGUCUGUGAUGCCCUUAGAUGUUCUGGGCCGCACGCGGGCUACACUGGUGUUUUCAACAAGCCUUAUUCCCUUGACCGAAAGGUCUGGGCAAUCUUUGAAAUAACACCGUGCUUGGGAUAGACUAUUGCAAUUUUUAGUCUUCAACGAGGAAUUCCUAGUAAACGCAAGUCAUUAGCUUGCAUUGAUUACGUCCCUGCCCUUU
Molecule: ribosomal RNA, 918 nt
Filed under: uncultured organism
Description: SSU rRNA
Rfam family: Eukaryotic small subunit ribosomal RNA
Source: RNAcentral